GGUAACGCGGGGCAACCUGGCGACGAGUGGCGAACGGGUGAGUAACGCAUCGGAACGUGCCCAGUAGUGGGGGAUAGCCCGGCGAAAGCCGGAUUAAUACCGCAUACGAUCUACGGAUGAAAGCGGGGGACCGUAAGGCCUCGCACUAUUGGAGUGGCCGAUGUCAGAUUAGCUAGUUGGUGGGGUAAAAGCCUACCAAGGCGACGAUCUGUAGCUGGUCUGAGAGGACGAUCAGCCACACUGGAACUGAGACACGGUCCAGACUCCUACGGGAGGCAGCAGUGGGGAAUUUUGGACAAUGGGCGCAAGCCUGAUCCAGCCAUGCCGCGUGAGUGAAGAAGGCCUUCGGGUUGUAAAGCUCUUUCGGUGAAGACGAAACGGUUAGCGUUAAUAACGCUGACUAAUGACGGUACUCACAGAAGAAGCACCGGCUAACUACGUGCCAGCAGCCGCGGUAAUACGUAGGGUGCAGGCGUUAAUCGGAAUUACUGGGCGUAAAGCGUGCGCAGGCGGUUUGCUAAGACAGGUGUGAAAUCCCCGGGCUUAACCUGGGAAUUGCGCUUGUAACUGGCAAGCUAGAGUGUGGCAGAGGGGGGUGGAAUUCCACGUGUAGCAGUGAAAUGCGUAGAUAUGUGGAGGAACACCGAUGGCGAAGGCAGCCCCCUGGGUUAACACUGACGCUCAGGCACGAAAGCGUGGGGAGCAAACAGGAUUAGAUAUCCUGGUAGUCCACGCCCUAAACUAUGUCAACUAGUUGUCGGGGAAGAAAUUCCUUGGUAACGAAGCUAACGCGUGAAGUUGACCGCCUGGGGANUACGGCCGCAAGGUUAAAACUCAAAGGAAUUGACGGGGACCCGCACAAGCGGUGGAUUAUGUGGAUUAAUUCGAUGCAACGCGAAAAANCUUACCUACCCUUGACAU
Molecule: ribosomal RNA, 921 nt
Filed under: uncultured bacterium
Lineage: Bacteria
Description: bacterial SSU rRNA
Rfam family: Bacterial small subunit ribosomal RNA
Source: RNAcentral